GACCAGCACGAUGUAAGGGGCGGAUCUGAGUCAACAGAGGCUUGUGUGCCUUGUGCACUAGCCUCCUGCUCUGGGGAAGGGCAGGUGGGGACUGAAGCAUCAUGAAUCUAGCUGGUUUCUAUGUGACCCUAGUGAAACAGUUACUCUGGGUUCAAGUCUCAGCUGUGGAGAAAUACCAGCAAUUAAUCACCCCACCCACCACAGGCAACAAAUGGAAAAGGAAAAUCAAACCUUCCUACAAGCACACACCCAGGGCACCACCUGGAUAGUCCCCAGUCCCAGGUCUGUUCCAUGGUGGUUGCCAUCUGAGAAGAUGCUCGGCCUCAUCUGGUUGCCCAGGAAGACAGGAGGAGAGGCUAUGGGAUAUCUGGAGGUGGUCCUUGUUAUUGCUGAAGACAGCUGUUGCUCUGCACCUCGGGGUACCACCGCUUCAGUGUAAUUCCCUCUCAGCUGACCGUCGUCUUCUCGCUCCUUUGCUACCAAAUCAGCACUGGCCAGCUGCAGUCCAGGUCCUGUCUGGACCUCUUGAGAGUUCACCCAAGAAUCUGGACUCCUGGGGGGGCAGGUCUCCAGAUCACGGAGUGAGAGUGGAGGGGAGUGUUAGGAGCUCAGAGUUGCAGGUCAUAACACCCAGCUCAUUGAGACCAAAUGAACAAAUAAACAGAUACAAAGGUUACCAGGCACAUGGGCCCAUAGAUACAGAGACAGAUGAAAACACAUAGACAUACAGGCAACAGCCAUGACAACAGCAAUAUAAGAACAACUGCAAUAAAAAUAGUGAUAAUUGUAAAAUAAUUGAAAGAAAGGUAAAAAAAAGAGAGAAAAAAGUGGUGUUAGAAGGAAUGUUAAAUGAUAAGAAAGAAGAAAUUAAAAUUAGAAGACAUAGAAAUAAAAAAUAUAUCUAUAUAAAAAGUAAUAAUGAAAAAUUAUCGAAAUCUCCUCUAAGAAAAUGGUGAGGAAAAAACAGACAAAAACAAAACAACGACAACAAAAAAACCCCCACGAAAACCAAAACCAAAACAAACAAA
This is a long non-coding RNA of Nycticebus coucang (slow loris), 1028 nucleotides long. RefSeq lists it as uncharacterized. The record is from RefSeq and is a predicted model, not a curated record. The transcript has 3 exons. Lineage: Eukaryota; Metazoa; Chordata; Mammalia; Primates; Lorisidae.